This 467-nucleotide ribosomal RNA is filed under the name uncultured bacterium. RNAcentral describes it as "partial 16S ribosomal RNA". It matches the Rfam family "Bacterial small subunit ribosomal RNA", at positions 355 to 813 of the family's 1533-position model. The record is from RNAcentral.
UAGGGAAUCUUCCACAAUGGACGCAAGUCUGAUGGAGCAACGCCGCGUGAGUGAAGAAGGUUUUCGGACCGUAAAGCUCUGUUGUUGGUGAAGAAGGAUAGAGGUAGUAACUGGCCUUUAUUUGACGGUAAUCAACCAGAAAGUCACGGCUAACUACGUGCCAGCAGCCGCGGUAAAUACGUAGGUGGCAAGCGUUGUCCGGAUUUAUUGGGCGUAAAGCGAGCGCAGGCGGAAGAAUAAGUCUGAUGUGAAAGCCCUCGGCUUAACCGAGGAAUUGCAUUGGAAACUGUUUUCUUGAGUGCAGAAGAGGAGAGUAGAACUCCAUGUGUAGCGGUGGAAUGCGUAGAUAUAUGGAAGAAUACCAGUGGCGAAGGCGGCUCUCUGGUCUGCAACUGACGCUGAGGCUCGAAAGCAUGGGUAGCGAACAGGAUUAGAUACCCUUGGUAGUCCAUGCCGUAAACGAUGAG